Molecule: ribosomal RNA, 654 nt
Filed under: Mycolicibacterium sp.
Lineage: Bacteria; Bacillati; Actinomycetota; Actinomycetes; Mycobacteriales; Mycobacteriaceae
Description: bacterial SSU rRNA
Rfam family: Bacterial small subunit ribosomal RNA
Source: RNAcentral
ACUCGAGUGGCGAACGGGUGAGUAACACGUGGGUGAUCUGCCCUGCACUUUGGGAUAAGCCUGGGAAACUGGGUCUAAUACCGAAUAUGACCAUGCGCCUCCUGGUGUGUGGUGGAAAGCUUUUGCGGUGUGGGAUGGGCCCGCGGCCUAUCAGCUUGUUGGUGGGGUAAUGGCCUACCAAGGCGACGACGGGUAGCCGGCCUGAGAGGGUGACCGGCCACACUGGGACUGAGAUACGGCCCAGACUCCUACGGGAGGCAGCAGUGGGGAAUAUUGCACAAUGGGCGCAAGCCUGAUGCAGCGACGCCGCGUGAGGGAUGACGGCCUUCGGGUUGUAAACCUCUUUCAGCACAGACGAAGCGCAAGUGACGGUAUGUGCAGAAGAAGGACCGGCCAACUACGUGCCAGCAGCCGCGGUAAUACGUAGGGUCCGAGCGUUGUCCGGAAUUACUGGGCGUAAAGAGCUCGUAGGUGGUUUGUCGCGUUGUUCGUGAAAACUCACAGCUUAACUGUGGGCGUGCGGGCGAUACGGGCAGACUUGAGUACUGCAGGGGAGACUGGAAUUCCUGGUGUAGCGGUGGAAUGCGCAGAUAUCAGGAGGAACACCGGUGGCGAAGGCGGGUCUCUGGGCAGUAACUGACGCUGAGGAGCGAA